AGUGUGUGCCGAGGUCCAUCAGCAGUUGCAUGACUCUUAUGUUAGUGUACCACCAAUGAAGCACGAUAGGAAAACCCAAAAAGACCAAAGAGGAAGUUAAAGAAAAUAGAAGGCUUGCCGCGCGACAACGCCGAGAACGAAUUAAAAAUACCCCUUUUUGUAUUAGCAAUCAAAAAAAAAAAAUAAAGGAGAAAGAAGGGUACAAUAAAAAAAAUAAAAAAAUACUGCCUAUCUGCGAAAUGUCACCAAAAGCCAGAAGAAAACUCAAAAAAGAAGUAGAGAAAAUUUCAGAACUUACUAUAAAAGACAAAAGGAAAAGGGAAAAUUGAAAACAAUCGAGGAAGAAGGGACCUUAGAUAUAGAGGUGCUUGAUAA
RNAcentral lists this unclassified non-coding RNA (375 nucleotides) under Melitaea cinxia (Glanville fritillary). RNAcentral describes it as "misc RNA ENSMCXG00005010845.1". The record is from RNAcentral. Lineage: Eukaryota; Metazoa; Arthropoda; Insecta; Lepidoptera; Nymphalidae.